This 230-nucleotide ribosomal RNA is filed under the name uncultured bacterium. Its description in RNAcentral is "partial 16S ribosomal RNA". It matches the Rfam family "Bacterial small subunit ribosomal RNA", at positions 562 to 791 of the family's 1533-position model. The record is from RNAcentral.
AAAGGGUCCGUAGGCGGUUUGAUAAGUCAGUGGUGAAAGCCCAUCGCUCAACGAUGGAACGGCCAUUGAUACUGUCAGACUUGAAUUACUAGGAAGUAACUAGAAUAUGUAGUGUAGCGGUGAAAUGCUUAGAUAUUACAUGGAAUACCAAUUGCGAAGGCAGGUUACUACUAGUGGAUUGACGCUGAUGGACGAAAGCGUGGGGAGCGAACAGGAUUAGAUACCCCAGU